AGUCAUGCAGGAUCUUGCGGGCCCUGAUAAAGGGGUUGGGUUUGACUCAAAGAAGAGUUGAAAGUCACUGGAAGAUUUUGACAGACAAGUGAUAUGUUUUGGAAGCUUUUUGGAGAAUGAAUUUUGGUGGUCAGAGUGGAAGCCUGUUGGGCAGCUAUUACAGUUGUCCAGAGAGAGGACAAGGUGGUGAUUAGACCAUGGAGCAUUUCAAACUGAAGACUGCAUGAAAUCUGCUGGGCUGUGAUCCAAUUAAUGGCAAAGCAAUUCAACAUAAUUGACCCCCAAAUAGUUGACUCAGUGACACAUGGAUAGAGCUUUGACAGCUUAGCAGUGAGAUCAGGAAAGGAAAUUAAUAUGUGAUUUAAGUAAAUUCAGGAAUCUGGUAGUUUAAUGGACUUAGACACUUUCAUCCUUUGUUAUUAAAUUGAAUCUGGCCCAGUUAGGAGUUAUUGGAAAAUUGAUUGUAAUAAACUGGCGUCUGUGAUAUGCUUCUUCCUGGAUCACCUGGGGGAAAUGAUUCAACAACAGCACAGGCACACACUCACACACUUAACUUACACAGACCCACCUUGUGUUUCUUCCUAGCAGGGUGGGUGUAAAGUGUGAUAAAUGGUGAAAAGGUUUGGAACCAAAAGUAGGACUUAUGAAUGCCAGAAAACCCAGGGUUGGACAUAGUUCAAGCAACACAUUUUUAAUUAAAAGAAAAAAUUGGUCUUAAGCUUGUUUCUUCUAGAUUCAGGUUUCAUAUUUAAUCUAACAUUUUCAUGGCUGCUGUAAGGACUUGGGUUUGUUGCUUAAGUCUCCCUUGAAAUACCUGUUUAUUCAUUGGGUUUUAGACUCUACUGCUGUGACUCUUCCCCCACCACUUUAUCUAUGCAUGUGCGGGUAUAUGUGUCAUGAUAUAAUAUAUGUGAAGACAGCAGGUUUAAAUUUUUCAUUAGUUUGUUAGUGCAGAAGGAAUACAUAAUUAGAAAACUUUAAACCAUUAAGUGAAAUAACUCAGAAAUAGAAAAUCAAAUACGGCAUGUUCUCACUUAUAAGUAGGAGCUAAAUAAUGUGAACACAUGGACACAUAGAGCAGUAUAAUAGACACUGGAGUCUCAGAAAGGUGGGAUAGUGGAUAGCGGGAGGUGUUGGUGAGAG
RNAcentral lists this long non-coding RNA (1143 nucleotides) under Homo sapiens (human). RNAcentral's name for it is "HSALNT0237442". Lineage: Eukaryota; Metazoa; Chordata; Mammalia; Primates; Hominidae. The record is from RNAcentral.